RNAcentral lists this ribosomal RNA (253 nucleotides) under uncultured bacterium. RNAcentral's name for it is "partial 16S ribosomal RNA". It matches the Rfam family "Bacterial small subunit ribosomal RNA", at positions 524 to 776 of the family's 1533-position model. The record is from RNAcentral.
UACGUAGGGUGCAAGCGUUAAUCGGAAUUACUGGGCGUAAAGCGUGCGCAGGCGGUUAUGUAAGACAGGUGUGAAAUCCCCGGGCUCAACCCGGGAACUGCGUCCGAUACUGGAAGGCUUGAAUCCGGGAGAGGGAUGUGGAAUUCCAGGUGUAGCGGUGAAAUGCGUAGAUAUCUGGAGGAACACCGGUGGCGAAGGCGACAUCCUGGACCGGUAUUGACGCUGAGGCGCGAAAGCCAGGGGAGCAAACGGG